Sorghum bicolor (sorghum) is the source of this 3804-nucleotide RNA transcript. RefSeq lists it as uncharacterized. The record is from RefSeq and is a predicted model, not a curated record. NCBI's taxonomy places the organism in Eukaryota, Viridiplantae, Streptophyta, Magnoliopsida, Poales, Poaceae. The transcript is spliced from 3 exons.
ACUAAAAAGACUAAAGAGGGGACAUCGUUUUGGUGCGACAUUCUCCCCUCCCGUUUUCGUCCUGCCUCCUGCGACGCGCGACGCCCGGCUCUCUCUUCCGCCAAAAAAAGGAAAGCGCCCGCCUCCUCGACGAAUCCUCCUCGGCGCCCCCUCCCAGAUCCUCCUCGACGCAGAGCCCCCCUCAUCCUCCUCGGCGCCCCGCUCCCAAAUCCUCCUCGGCGCCCCCUCCAGAUCCUCCUCGACGAAUCCGGUGGCCGCCUGAGCGAGCGUGAACUCCGGUGGCUGCCCGAGCGCCGCUGCGACCCACACCCCCGCCGCGCGCCCUGCGACACGCCAGUGGCCGCGCUCCGGUGGCCGCUCGAGUGACUACGACCCGCGCCCCCGCUGCCCGAGCGACCGCGUCGGUGGUCGCGGCCCGCGCCGCGAACGCCGGUGGCCCCCGCUGCCCGAGCGUCGCGCCCGUUACCCGCGCGAACUUCGGUGGCCGCCUGAGCGACUGCGACCCGCCGGUGGCCGCGCCCGCUUCCCGCGCGGCACCCGCGGCCCGCUGCCCGCAUGCCCCUUGCCCCGAUUGAGACUUCGUGAGACGCGCCAUCCCCGGCACCGGCUCACCGUGACCCCACCUCCGCUGCCUAGCGCCUCCGGCCUCCUGUCGGGCCACCUCCGUCCUCCGACAGUCCAGCACGGCGGCGCCUUCCUGAUCUAGCGAGCCAAACGAGGACCCCAAGUCCCCGGCGAGCCAGCGGCGGCCACAUCUCGAUCCAGAGCCAGGGGCGGCCCGGCCCUCCUCUCACCAUGACCGUGCGCCUAGCACUUGGCUGCCAGCCGCCCUGGCCAGCCGGCCCCUCCCCUACUGCCUACAUCCGCCUGCAGCCAACAGAUCUAUCGCUUCCGACGGCCCUGCUGUCAGGCUGCAGUGACUACUCUGGACGACACGCACGAGCAGAUCGACACGGUGAAACUGCUGGGCGCUAGAGCUUGCUCCAGCUGAAUCCGGGGAGGUAUAUGCUGAAAUAUUUUGUUCUGUAGACUGAAUAAGAACGGUGAUUCUCUGGACGUGUAAGUGCUGAAUAAGAACUUCAAAUCCAGUUGUCUUUUAUAUAAUUCUAUCACUGUGCAGCACAUGCUCUUCAUUCCAACCCUAUAGCUGCAUCGGGAUCAUGGUUCUUGAUGACAAGGUUGCAUUGCAUAGUUCAAUUAGUCAAACAUACAAAAUCAAUACAUGCUGAUUUUCCAGCAUCCGCAAUAUGAACUGCAGAUGCCAUUUUGAAGUCAUUUUAAGAUCUUGCUUUUGCUUUUAGGAUUAAUAAAACAUAUUUUAGCUUCUUCUCUUGAUCUCUGUAUGAGGAUCUGUUUAUGAGCGAAAAGAUAAAAAAAAUAAGACACUACAACAUUUAGCCGUACACAAGUUCACAGAUAGUCUGAUGAGGCAGUGCCUUUUGUUUCCAAUUUCCAAGCAAAGACAAUGAACGAGAGGGAAAAACUCUCCUAAAAUUUGCUAGCCAUGUUCAUAUAGUUGUAUUCACUUCAGUCCAAUCUCGAUCAAUAAUUUGACCCAUAAUAGAUAUCAUUAGUUUACUUAAUUGAUUAUUGGCAGAUUUUUUUGAAAAAACCAGAAAAUUAUUGGCAGAUUAAUUCUCUGCACAAGGAUGAGUUUGUUUGACACUACAUAGAAUGUAGAAAUGUUUGCAGCUAUUUCUUUUUAUAUGGUAAAAUAGUACAUGUAGUGGUAGAUGGGCAAAUAAUCUGGGCAAAUGCAGUUUCUUUUGGGAUGUUUUUUAGAUGCAGUUUCUUGUGGGAUGCUUCUAUAUUAAUAUUACUUUAGAUGGCAAAAGCAGUAGCAUCUAUAUUGCACAUGGUUUUAGAACUUCUUUAUUGCAGACUUCAUCUUAUGGAGCUGUGCAAGUCGAGAUAUCAGAAGACAUGCAGCUGGUGCAUUUUGACUUGAAUAGUACUUGAGCUGAUAAGAUGUAUUGCAACAGAAGAGAGCUACCACCCUAGGCAUCUUGCAGCCGAACCAGCUAAUCCAUGUGUUGAGACCAAGGUGGACCACUGCUCCCUGUCCAACUUAAUCUCCAAUCGGUAAACCAGAAUUUUGAUACUUUUCUUAGGUGUUCAGCACUUAAUUACUUAGACUGCUUAUUUCUAUUUGGUCAAAGCUCUACCUCUAAUGUCAGGUUAUUAAUCAAGUUCACGCUGACCCGGUAAUUUCAUUGUGCAUUGUUUCAUAGCAUCAAACUCAAUUUGGCUUAGGUUGUAUUCCUAAAGAUCAGAAACCAAUUGUGAUCGAGCAAUGUAUAUUUGGUGAAGGUUGUGGCAUGUACAUGUAAGGAUGUUUGACUCUACAUUAUACCUGUAGGUUACAACAGCUUGUGUUUUUAGCACAAAUAGGUUUGGAAAGUGUCACUUUGCUAGAUUAUGAAAUGACAAUUUUCUAUUGCCUGUAUAUUUAAAAUAAGUUUCUAGAUGUGUACCAUUUUUAAAAUAACUACCGGAUCCAAAUGCAUAGGAUGAACAAUUGAUGUCAGGAAAACUUUCUUACACUAAUCAGGUUUUGGUUCUAAUGCUGGCAUUGUUCUUAGUACUCGGAACGUGUUCGACACAUUGUUUGAACUUGAAUUGUGCGCAUUUUAAUUGUCCAUUGCUACUGUUGUGGGACAGAGCAUGAGUUAUGGGUUCAGAAAGAAGAUAAGGCUAGGGAGAAAGUGGGCAGCCUGCUAGAUCUUGCCCAAGGCAUGUCCUCUUGCACUAAUGUUGAAAAAUGUCUUUAAAUUUAUCUGUCCCUUCUUAUAUAUGGCCGCAAGGACUUGUACAAUCAUAGACUGAAAAAGACAAUGUCGAUUAUUGGUUUGAAAUACCUGGUGUCAUCUUUUAUUCUAGAAUGUCUUUAACUUUAUCUAUCCCUUCUUAUAUGUGGGCUUUUCUUGAGGAAUGAAAACCUCUUUUCCUUUUUAUGAUUGGUGAAUACUGGGAUAGCCUUUUUCAACCGUAAAUAGUUUAUUGCACAUAUGAUAUUUUCACAUGCUUGUACAAUAAAAUGCUUGUUGAAUUCCUAUUAGUCCCAUGAUGCUAAAAUGCUUAGUAGCCAAGAAUUUGCUUAUUACUAUUGGUUAUGCCUGUUUUCAUGUAGAUGUGUCUUUGAUGAGAAAGGUGACACAAAGGCGCAAAGCCUUACAUAAAUUCAGAAUUGUCUUCAUUGCAAGGUAAUUUUUUGUUGUGUGUGAGAUUUUUUUCAUUCACCUAGAUAUGUGCACGAAAUUCGAUAUCCUUAGUUUUUGUGUAUCAAGCAUUUUGAUUGAAGGUUUGCAAUGGCUGGAAAGAUUAUUUGUCUCCAUUGACAUUACUAUGGACAGAAUAGAUCUUUUCAUAUAAUUAUCCUAUGCACGAAUGAACUUAGUUGCUGCUAAGAUAUCUCAUGAAUCAGGGUAUGUUUUGAUGUCGUUUCUUGAUUGGAUAAUCACAACUAUUUCCUGUGAUCUUUUAGCCCCUGGCGGCCUGGCCAUUUAACCUUAAUUACUUGCUCACGUACCUUCAGGCUUGCAACAUCAAAGAUCCAAUACAAAACAGAGUGGACUGCCCCACAAGCAGGAAAGGUGAAGGCGGCCAUGGUUACACAAUAUUGCAUACUGAGUCAAAAAGGCUGAAAAAUAAAGAUGGUAAAGAGUCCAUGAUUACACAUUGUUUUUAGUAAUACAACAAUACAUGGGCAAACUCUAAUUGUCAUGGUGUUAUAUUUUCUUUUUGGAUCAACACAUGGGCAAACUUUGCCUUUUGAAUUAAUUAAUUUUAUAGUAUUGUUACGUA